GCCGGGCUAGCUCAGGGGUAGAGCAGAGGACUGAAAAUCCUUGUGUCGCAAGUUCAAAUCUCGCGCUCGGCACCA
RNAcentral lists this transfer RNA (75 nucleotides) under Candidatus Altimarinota bacterium. RNAcentral's name for it is "Candidatus Gracilibacteria bacterium tRNA-Phe". It matches the Rfam family "tRNA". Rfam says of the family: Transfer RNA (tRNA) molecules are approximately 80 nucleotides in length. Their secondary structure includes four short double-helical elements and three loops (D, anti-codon, and T loops). The record is from RNAcentral. Lineage: Bacteria; Candidatus Altimarinota.